GAGUUUGAUCGUGGCUCAGAGUGAACGCUGGCGGCGUGCCUAAAACAUGCAAGUCGAACGGGCCCUUUCGGGGGUCAGUGGCGGACGGCUGAGUAACACGUGGGUGACCUGCCCCGGAGCGGGGGAUAACUGCCCGAAAGGGUGGCUAAUACCGCAGACAUCACGGCUUCGGUGACGUGAUUGAACCUUUGGGGUUCUGGGAGGGGCCCGCGGCCGAUUAGCUAGCUGGUGGGGUAACGGCCUACCAGGGCGACGAUCGGUAGCUGGUCUGAGAGGAUGAUCAGCCAGACUGGGACUGCGAACGGCCCAGACUCCUACGGGAGGCAGCAGUUAGGAAUUUUGGGCAAUGGGCGAAAGCCUGACCCAGCAACGCCGCGUGGGUGAUGAAGGCCCUCGGGUCGUAAAGCCCUUUUCCCAGGGACGAUGGUGACGGUACCUGGGGAAUCAGCCCCGGCUAACUACGUGCCAGCCGCCGCCGUAAC
This 482-nucleotide ribosomal RNA is filed under the name uncultured Alphaproteobacteria bacterium. RNAcentral describes it as "bacterial SSU rRNA". It matches the Rfam family "Bacterial small subunit ribosomal RNA", at positions 9 to 524 of the family's 1533-position model. The record is from RNAcentral. Lineage: Bacteria; Pseudomonadati; Pseudomonadota; Alphaproteobacteria.